GAUAAAAAACCAACGCCCUUCGGGGCUCCUUGGUGAAUCAUAAUAACUUAACGAAUCGCAUGGCCUUGCGCCGGCGAUGGUUCAUUCAAAUUUCUGCCCUAUCAACUUUCGAUGGUAGGAUAGUGGCCUACCAUGGUGGCAACGGGUAACGGGGAAUUAGGGUUCGAUUCCGGAGAGGGAGCCUGAGAAACGGCUACCACAUCCAAGGAAGGCAGCAGGCGCGCAAAUUACCCAAUCCCGAUACGGGGAGGUAGUGACAAUAAAUACUGAUACGGGGCUCUUUUGGGUCUCGUAAUUGGAAUGAGAACAAUUUAAAUCCCUUAACGAGGAACAAUUGGAGGGCAAGUCUGGUGCCAGCAGCCGCGGUAAUUCCAGCUCCAAUAGCGUAUAUUAAAGUUGUUGCAGUUAAAAAGCUCGUAGUUGAACCUUGGGUCUGGCUGGCCGGUCCGCCUCACCGCGAGUACUGGUCCGGCUGGACCUUUCCUUCUGGGGAACCUCAUGGCCUUCACUGGCUGUGGGGGGAACCAGGACUUUUACUGUGAAAAAAUUAGAGUGUUCAAAGCAGGCCUUUGCUCGAAUACAUUAGCAUGGAAUAAUAGAAUAGGACGUGUGGUUCUAUUUUGUUGGUUUCUAGGACCGCCGUAAUGAUUAAUAGGGAUAGUCGGGGGCGUCAGUAUUCAGCUGUCAGAGGUGAAAUUCUUGGAUUUGCUGAAGACUAACUACUGCGAAAGCAUUCGCCAAGGAUGUUUUCAUUAAUCAGGGAACGAAAGUUAGGGGAUCGAAGACGAUCAGAUACCGUC
RNAcentral lists this ribosomal RNA (800 nucleotides) under uncultured fungus. RNAcentral describes it as "SSU rRNA". It matches the Rfam family "Eukaryotic small subunit ribosomal RNA", at positions 213 to 1019 of the family's 1831-position model. The record is from RNAcentral. Lineage: Eukaryota; Fungi.